CUGCCCUUCCAUCCCUUGGAUAGAUAGAGAGGGAGGGCAGAGCUUUUGGUUUUUUCAUGUUGUCAAAGAGUUGAACAAUGGUUUUUCGUGUUGUCAAAGAUUUGAACAAUGAAAAUAGAUGGCGAGUGCCUGAUCGAAUUGAUCAGGUCAUGUAGGAACAAGGUUCAAGUCUACCGGUCUGUUAGGAUGCCUCAGCUGCAUACAUCACUGCACUUCCACUUGACACCUAUCGUAAUGAUAAACGGCUCGUCUCGCCGUGACCUUC
RNAcentral lists this ribosomal RNA (265 nucleotides) under Verbena officinalis (common vervain). Its description in RNAcentral is "4.5S ribosomal RNA". The record is from RNAcentral. Lineage: Eukaryota; Viridiplantae; Streptophyta; Magnoliopsida; Lamiales; Verbenaceae. RNAcentral also lists the same sequence under 20 other names.